GAGAGAGAGAGAGAGAGAGAGAGAGAGAGAGAGAGAGAGAGAGAGAGAGGGAGUUGGCCAGUUGGGCCUCGGCCCAGGAAGAGAAGAAGGGGGCGCAGGGUUUGGGCCCUGCAGGCCGAAAGGAGAAGGGAGGGGGGGGAAGGGUUUUGCCAUUUUCUUUUUUUUUCAAACAAAUUUUUCAACACAUUUUCCAAUUGAAUUUUUGAUCAAAUCGACAUUUUGUUUUUAGAAUACUCAUCACAAUAAUAAUGCACCAGCAUGUAUGCAUAAAAAAAUGUUUCCUAAACUUAGAUUAAAUUUUAAUUUUUUUUUUUCAAAAAUUUAUUUAUUUUCCCUAUAUUUGGAUGCUCACAAAAAUUAACUAUAAAAUCAAAUUCAUCUAUUUAAAAACAAACAAAUUUUAGGGUGUUACAAUUCUACGCCCCUUAAAAUGAAUCUCGCCCUCGAGAUUCGGAAGAAGCUCAGACCCUCUGAGAGAAACAAGAAAAUAUCUUAAUAAUCCUUUCAACUUCACAACUUGCAUACCAAACUUAAACACUUGUCUCAAGGUCACACAUCGUGAACAUAAUUUCCAUUGAAUAACUAUUAUUCAUAAUUGAUCAAAGUUCAUCUUGACUACUAAUUUCUUUUAGCUUACAACUCCAAGAGACAUGGAAACUUAAUAUGCUUUUGCCUCCUCUCGUAGAAGUGGACCACCAUGAUACUCAAUUCUUUUCCCUGACGGUGCUGUUAAGAGCAUUUUGUACUGGGUACCAUAGAUCACUCCUUUAUGUGCACAUAACCAUCCAUUACCAAGGACCAAGGGAAUACCAAGUGACUCUAACACAAUGAGGUUUACAGUGAUGUUUUCCUUGUUUAUGACCAGAUUGAUAUUUGAGCACACCUGAUUUGCUUGUAUUUCUCCCACUGGGGUUUGAACUAACAAAGGCUUCCUCGUUGGACACUUCACCCGCUCGAUCGUCUUUACCAAGUCAGCGGAAAUGAAAGAAUGCGAAGCACUCGGGUCAAAGAGAGCAAAAACUUGCACUGAGUCUACUUGAAUAUAGCCA
Molecule: long non-coding RNA, 1049 nt
Filed under: Sorghum bicolor (sorghum)
Lineage: Eukaryota; Viridiplantae; Streptophyta; Magnoliopsida; Poales; Poaceae
Description: long non-coding RNA (SBIC_LNC018767)
Source: RNAcentral